Molecule: ribosomal RNA, 305 nt
Filed under: uncultured bacterium
Lineage: Bacteria
Description: bacterial SSU rRNA
Rfam family: Bacterial small subunit ribosomal RNA
Source: RNAcentral
CGGCCUACGGGGGGCAGCAGUGAGGAAUAUUGGUCAACGGUCGGGAGACUGAACCAGCCAAGCCGCGUGAGGGAGGAAGGUACAGAGUAUCGUAAACCUCUUUUGUCAGGGAACAAAGGCGGGGACGUGUCCCCGGAUGAGUGUACCUGAAGAAAAAGCAUCGGCUAACUCCGUGCCAGCAGCCGCGGUAAUACGGAGGAUGCGAGCGUUAUCCGGAUUUAUUGGGGUUAAAGGGAGCGCAGGCGGUCUGUUAAGUCAGCGGUCAAAGCACGGGGCUCAACCCCGGGCCGCCGGUGGACCGGAGG